RNAcentral lists this ribosomal RNA (257 nucleotides) under uncultured prokaryote. RNAcentral describes it as "partial 16S ribosomal RNA". It matches the Rfam family "Bacterial small subunit ribosomal RNA", at positions 524 to 780 of the family's 1533-position model. The record is from RNAcentral.
UACGUAGGUGGCAAGCGUUGUCCGGAUUUAUUGGGCGUAAAGGGAGCGCAGGCGGUGACUUAAGUCUGAUGUGAAAGCCCACGGCUCAACCGUGGAAGGUCAUUGGAAACUGGGUCACUUGAAUAUAGAAGAGGAAAGUGGAAUUCCAUGUGUAGCGGUGAAAUGCGCAGAGAUAUGGAGGAACACCAGUGGCGAAGGCGGCUCUCUGGUCUGUAACUGACGCUGAUGUGCGAAAGCGUGGGGAUCAAACAGGAUUA